GGGCUCGCUUUAGCCCAGCGGUUCCUUCGAGUCUGGCUUCCUAACUGCCCCGGCCGAUUGGUCCAGUGAUUCGAGACCCGCGGGCGUUCUCCAGUCCUUUU
Molecule: unclassified non-coding RNA, 101 nt
Organism: Cavia aperea (Brazilian guinea pig)
Lineage: Eukaryota; Metazoa; Chordata; Mammalia; Rodentia; Caviidae
Gene: Vault
Rfam family: Vault RNA
About the family: This family of RNAs are found as part of the enigmatic vault ribonucleoprotein complex. The complex consists of a major vault protein (MVP), two minor vault proteins (VPARP and TEP1), and several small untranslated RNA molecules.
Source: Ensembl